This 460-nucleotide ribosomal RNA is filed under the name uncultured bacterium. RNAcentral describes it as "bacterial SSU rRNA". It matches the Rfam family "Bacterial small subunit ribosomal RNA", at positions 28 to 524 of the family's 1533-position model. The record is from RNAcentral.
GAUGAACGCUAGCGGCAGGCUUAAUACAUGCAAGUCGAGGGGCAGCACGGUUAGCAAUAACUGGUGGCGACCGGCGCACGGGUGCGUAACACGUAUACAAUCUACCUUAAACAGGGGGAUAGCCUUUCGAAAGAGAGAUUAAUACCCCGUAAUAAAUUGAACGGCAUCGUUUGAUUUUGAAAGCUCCGGCGGUUUGAGAUGAGUAUGCGUCUGAUUAGCUUGUUGGUGAGGUAACGGCUCACCAAGGCUGUGAUGGCUAGCUGGUCUGAGAGGAUGACCAGCCACACUGGGACUGAGACACGGCCCAGACUCCUACGGGAGGCAGCAGUGGGGAAUAUUGCGCAAUGGGCGAAAGCCUGACGCAGCGACGCCGCGUGGGUGAUGAAGGCCUUCGGUCGUAAAGCCCUGUCGCAGGGGAAGAAUAAGCAUCGGCUAACUUCGUGCCAGCAGCCGCGGUAAU